GGUUCGGCCGGAUUUCACACAGGUGUUGCAUGGCUGUCGUCAGCUCGUGUCGUGAGAUGUUGGGUUAAGUCCCGCAACGAGCGCAACCCUCAUCCUUAGUUACCAUCAGGUAAUGCUGGGGACUUUAAGGAAACUGCCAGUGAUAAACUGGAGGAAGGUGGGGAUGAUGUCAAGUCAUCAUGGCCCUUAUGGAGUGGGCUACACACGUGCUACAAUGGUGGCUACAAUGGGCUGCAAAGUCGCGAGGCUAAGCUAAUCCCUUAAAAGCCAUCUCAGUUCGGAUUGUACUCUGCAACUCGAGUGCAUGAAGUUGGAAUCGCUAGUAAUCGUGGAUCAGCACGCCACGGUGAAUACGUUCUCGGGUCUUGUACACACUGCCCGUCA
This 384-nucleotide ribosomal RNA is filed under the name uncultured Wolbachia sp. RNAcentral describes it as "bacterial SSU rRNA". It matches the Rfam family "Bacterial small subunit ribosomal RNA", at positions 1017 to 1399 of the family's 1533-position model. The record is from RNAcentral. Lineage: Bacteria; Pseudomonadati; Pseudomonadota; Alphaproteobacteria; Rickettsiales; Anaplasmataceae.